UGGGGUUUGGCUCAGUGGUAGAGCAACUUGCCUGGCACGUGGGAGGCGCUGGGUUUGAUCCUCAGCACCACAU
This 73-nucleotide transfer RNA is filed under the name Marmota monax (woodchuck). RNAcentral describes it as "tRNA.Ala". Lineage: Eukaryota; Metazoa; Chordata; Mammalia; Rodentia; Sciuridae. The record is from RNAcentral.